UUUGCGAACAAAAAAAUAAAUUUUUUUAUUCUAACAAACUAAAUCAAAACUUUCAACAACGGAUCUCUUGGUUCUCGCAUCGAUGAAGAACGCAGCGAAUUGCGAUACGUAGUAUGACUUGCAGACGUGAAUCAUCGAAUCUUUGAACGCACAUUGCGCCUCGAGGCAUUCCUCGAGGCAUGCCUGUUUGAGCGUCGCAUCCCCUCUAACCCCCGGUUAGGCGUUGCUCCGAAAUAUCAACCGCGCUGUCAAACACGUUUACAGCACGACAUUUCGCCCUCAA
This 283-nucleotide unclassified non-coding RNA is filed under the name Clavispora lusitaniae. Its description in RNAcentral is "sequence contains 18S rRNA gene, ITS1, 5.8S rRNA gene, ITS2, 28S rRNA gene". The stretch from base 48 to 197 matches the Rfam family "5.8S ribosomal RNA". Rfam says of the family: 5.8S ribosomal RNA (5.8S rRNA) is a component of the large subunit of the eukaryotic ribosome. It is transcribed by RNA polymerase I as part of the 45S precursor that also contains 18S and 28S rRNA. Functionally, it is thought that 5.8S rRNA may be involved in ribosome translocation. The record is from RNAcentral. Lineage: Eukaryota; Fungi; Ascomycota; Pichiomycetes; Serinales; Metschnikowiaceae.